AGGGUCAUGUUCCUGCUUUGUGAUGUCACCAGAAACCAUGUGGAAGCCCAUGAUCCAUGCUCUCACUGACUGGAAAGAUCAAGGAAGCUGCUUUUGCGGUGACAUCGAUGACUGAAGACACACAGUUGAGAAAGGGGGACAUAGAAGGCUUCUGUGACAACCCCUAUCCCAUCCUCAUCCAAGUAACAGCCUAAACAGGAAGCCAUCGAAGAGAACUCUUUAAACAUAUGAUAAAGAUGCUGAAAUGUAGCUCUCCACAAUUGAUGACUUCUGGCAGGAGCCUACUGUCUCGCUGAUUUGACUGCUCUUCGGUUUUGCUGAUCUUAAGACGGGCUAGAUGCAUCCCCUGAUGCUGACUUCAAGAAAGGAAAGCUGGGCUGCCUCUGACUCAAAGAGAGAUGUUCUCAUCUUCCUGCUGACUGUGAGAAGUCAAGCAGUUACUCCAAGUUCAUUAGAUGUCCCUAAUUGCCGAGAACACAUUCAGGAAAUAAAGGAAGGGAGAAGUCCAUGAUGAGACUGGAACUCUGAAUGAGAGAAUUCCUGAGCAGGUCCUGGGUAGACUUCAACCCUGCAGGAACAGCAGUGAAGGCUCAUGGGCCUGAAGUAGUCAAACUCAUUAACACAGCUUUAAAGGAAGACGUUCAAAGGCA
Non-coding RNA from Peromyscus maniculatus bairdii (prairie deer mouse), 650 nucleotides. The record is from RefSeq and is a predicted model, not a curated record. NCBI's taxonomy places the organism in Eukaryota, Metazoa, Chordata, Mammalia, Rodentia, Cricetidae.